This is a long non-coding RNA of Papaver somniferum (opium poppy), 1005 nucleotides long. RefSeq lists it as uncharacterized. The record is from RefSeq and is a predicted model, not a curated record. NCBI's taxonomy places the organism in Eukaryota, Viridiplantae, Streptophyta, Magnoliopsida, Ranunculales, Papaveraceae. The transcript has 10 exons.
GCGAUGACUUCUACGAGUUCACUGCAAAAGACUACUACCGAACUUUGUCUUCCAAGAAGGAUGAUAAAACCAUGAAACCUAGGAAACUCCGAGAAGCUGAGCAGGCUGCCCGCAGAGCAAGAAUAACCAAGAUUUUUUCUCUCCUGUGGGAAGGAAUCUGUGGUGAAGCUUUGGGAGGUUGCACAGCGAGAUUAGCCAAACAAUACGUUGGAGCUACACACAAAUAAUUGCGCAGAUAUCGGGGGCCAAAGAUCACACUAUAAAGUUCUUCGAUUUCUCAAAAACGGUGGCGAAGAGAGUUUAUCGAGUUAUUCAGCUAUUGUAUUAUGCAACUCAUUGUGGUGCCUGAGAAUCGGUUGCAUCUGUACUUCAAGAAGAGGAAAGUGGGAGAUGAUGACAAAGCUGAAGACGGCCUUUCAACUUGACCCUGAUGAUUAUGAAGCAAGAUGUAGAAUAUAUGUGGGAGUCUUGUUUGCUGGGUUGUUGGUUCAGGUUGGAGGAUCACCAAUUUGUAAAGUUGAUAGGCUACUUGUUUGCUGGGUUGUUAAUCAAAUGUGGAAUGCUUAACCUUGUUGAUCUUGCUGGGUUUGAGAACAUUUCACGUUCUGGUGUAGGAGAGGCCAUGACGGAGAAAAUAUAGCGUAUGGAGCUUAAUUCAGAAUCCAAGGACAAGAAUAAACUCGAGAAUGCUGAUCAUGCAGUUUUCGAUCUAGCAGAGAAGUAUAGAAAAGUAAAUGCAACCAUCAAAGAAAAAUAAUUUUUGAUCUCUAAUCUCCUUCGAGUAGGUGAGCGAUAAUCUAUAUGUAUUUCUUCAGUUAGCUUAUUGAUGCGUAUGAGUAGCGGAGAUUCCUAUUUCUUCAGUACCCAAGAAAACAUUGGUGUUGGAUACUUAAUCUGGAUUGCCUCUUCAUAUUCCCACCCCACAACCUUCGUUUUUUGCAUGCUUGAUGUCUUUUGGCCUAGUAGUCUCAGUAUCCUUGGUUUAUGCUUAUUGUUAUUGUUACA